CCCCUAGAUGUUCUGGGCCGCACGCGCGCUACACUGAACAGUUCAACAAGUCUUAACCUUGGCCGAUAGGUCUGGGUAAUCUUUGAACGCUGUUCGUGAUUGGGAUAGACCUUUGCAAUUAUGUGUCUUCAACGAGGAAUUCCUAGUAAACGCAAGUCAUCAGCUUGCAUUGAUUACGUCCCUGCCCUUUGUACACACCGCCCGUCGCACCUACCGAUUGAAUGGUCCGGUGAAGCCUCCGGAUUGGCGCGCACCUCGGUGCCGCCGAGAAGUUGGCUAAACCUUACCAUUUAGAGGAAGGUGAAGUCGUAACA
RNAcentral lists this ribosomal RNA (314 nucleotides) under uncultured eukaryote. RNAcentral's name for it is "partial 18S ribosomal RNA". It matches the Rfam family "Eukaryotic small subunit ribosomal RNA", at positions 1470 to 1796 of the family's 1831-position model. The record is from RNAcentral.